This 700-nucleotide ribosomal RNA is filed under the name uncultured Actinomycetes bacterium. RNAcentral's name for it is "bacterial SSU rRNA". It matches the Rfam family "Bacterial small subunit ribosomal RNA", at positions 94 to 808 of the family's 1533-position model. The record is from RNAcentral. Lineage: Bacteria; Bacillati; Actinomycetota; Actinomycetes.
AGUGGCGAACGGGUGAGUAACACGUGAGUAACCUGCCCUUGACUCUGGGAUAACUGCUAGAAAUGGUAGCUAAUACCGGAUACGACCCUCGGCGGCAUCGCCAGGGGGUGGAAAGAAUUUCGGUCAAGGAUGGACUCGCGGCCUAUCAGCUAGUUGGUGAGGUAACGGCUCACCAAGGCGACGACGGGUAGCCGGCCUGAGAGGGUGACCGGCCACACUGGGACUGAAACACGGCCCAGACUCCUACGGGAGGCAGCAGUGGGGAAUAUUGCACAAUGGGCGCAAGCCUGAUGCAGCAACGCCGCGUGAGGGAUGACGGCCUUCGGGUUGUAAACCUCUUUUAGUAGGGAAGAAGCGAAAGUGACGGUACCUGCAGAAAAAGCACCGGCUAACUACGUGCCAGCAGCCGCGGUAAUACGUAGGGUGCAAGCGUUGUCCGGAAUUAUUGGGCGUAAAGAGCUCGUAGGCGGUUUGUCGCGUCUGCUGUGAAAUCCCGAGGCUCAACCUCGGGCCUGCAGUGGGUACGGGCAAACUAGAGUGUGGUAGGGGAGAUUGGAACUCCUGGUGUAGCGGUGGAAUGCGCAGAUAUCAGGAAGAACACCGAUGGCGAAGGCAGAUCUCUGGGCCAUUACUGACGCUGAGGAGCGAAAGCGUGGGGAGCGAACAGGAUUAGAUACCCUGGUAGUCCACGCCGUAAACG